GAGUGCUUUGGAUAGAUCCCACUUCAGCUCUGACAAGCACCAAAUCUGUCUGUAGAGGCUCCAGUUCGUUUCUUGAUUUGGGAUUUUUCCAAAUCUUUGGCACACCCACUAAUGACAAAGGGAGGGAUCCAGACAUCCAGAACAUUGGAAAAUAUAUGAUUCCUUUUUUUCUUUCUGUAUUGGAGUGGCCACAUCAGCAAGGUCAGUAAAGUAUUCCACCCAUGUUUGAAUAUGCAACCACUUUCUGGAGACUGCCUCACCAAUCCCUUUACUGAUGGGCCAAAAUCCUUCUCCUCUGCUUUUCCAUUUGAAACAGAUUCUACAUCCUAAUAAGCAAUCAUUCUCCUGACCGCUAUUAUACAUCUUACAAGAAUUUGCCAUGUUGCGCUCAACAUAUGAUAAAAGUUUGAAGAAAGAGAGGAGAACUGAAAGUGCUCGGAAACUGGUAGACCCAAGGCCCUUUCCAAAUGUAGGGUGAAACUAGGGUUGCCAGGUUCAUGGCCUGAGACUGAUCCAGUAUCUUUUGGAGAAGAGAAAGUCAGCCAAGUGCAGGUGUUCUUGCAACAUUGUUAUUGUUUUAUAUUAUUAUUUGUAUUAUUUUAAAUUGUUUUUAGAUUUUUAAGUGCCUUUUACGGUUUUAAGGUUGUGCACAGUUUAAUUGUAUUUUAAUGGUAUGUUUUCUAUGUUUUUAACUACAUGUAGUUCUAUUUGUAAGCAGCCCUGAGUUCCAGUUUGGAAAAAGGGCAGGGUAAAAAUAAAGUUUCAAUCAAUGAGAAAAACCACAAGAUGGAAUUCUUCCUUCCCCCUGCACAACUUUUAAAGAUACAGAAGACCUCUUGGAGGUCAGGCCGUGCAACCAAGGCUUCAGUUUCCUGUCUGAGAAUAAUAGCAAAUC
Rhineura floridana is the source of this 895-nucleotide long non-coding RNA. RefSeq lists it as uncharacterized. The record is from RefSeq and is a predicted model, not a curated record. Lineage: Eukaryota; Metazoa; Chordata; Lepidosauria; Squamata; Rhineuridae. The transcript is spliced from 4 exons.